This 537-nucleotide ribosomal RNA is filed under the name uncultured bacterium. RNAcentral describes it as "bacterial SSU rRNA". It matches the Rfam family "Bacterial small subunit ribosomal RNA", at positions 336 to 865 of the family's 1533-position model. The record is from RNAcentral.
CUCCUACGGGAGGCAGCAGUGGGGAAUUUUUCGCAAUGGGCGCAAGCCUGACGAAGCAACGCCGCGUGGAGGAUGAAGGUCUUCGGAUUGUAAACUCCUGUCGACCGGGACGAAUGCACUCGACCUAAUACGUCGGAAUGUUGACGGUACCGGUGGAGGAAGCCACGGCUAACUCUGUGCCAGCAGCCGCGGUAAUACAGAGGUGGCAAGCGUUGUUCGGAAUUACUGGGCGUAAAGGGCGCGUAGGCGGCCUUGUAAGUCUUGUGUGGAAGCCCUCGGCUUAACUGAGGAUCUGCACGGGAUACUGCGAGGCUUGAGUUCGGGAGAGGAAAGCGGAAUUCCGGGUGUAGCGGUGAAAUGCGUAGAUAUCCGGAGGAACACCAGUGGCGAAGGCGGCUUUCUGGACCGACACUGACGCUGAGGCGCGAAAGCUAGGGGAGCAAACGGGAUUAGAUACCCCGGUAGUCCUAGCUGUAAACGAUGAUCGCUGGGUGUGGGGGGUUUUUACUCCCUCCGUGCCGAAGCUAACGCAUAAGC